AUAAACCUAGUCGCUCGCGUCAGGGGCAACCCGCGCGCGAGCGUCUCACCUAGGUCACCCUUGAAUAAACUACCUUCGUUGCUUUGGCGGGCCGCCUCCAAGGCCAGCGGCUUCGGCUGCUGCGCGCCCGCCGGAGGACCACAACUCUUGUUUUUAGUGAUGUCUGAGUACUAUAUAAUAGUUA
RNAcentral lists this unclassified non-coding RNA (184 nucleotides) under uncultured Phialophora. RNAcentral's name for it is "sequence contains ITS1". The record is from RNAcentral. Lineage: Eukaryota; Fungi; Ascomycota; Leotiomycetes.